UACGAAGGGGGCUAGCGUUGUUCGGAAUCACUGGGCGUAAAGCGCACGUAGGCGGAUUCUUAAGUCAGGGGUGAAAUCCCGAGGCUCAACCUCGGAACUGCCUUUGAUACUGGAGAUCUUGAGUCCGGAAGAGGUAAGUGGAACUGCGAGUGUAGAGGUGAAAUUCGUAGAUAUUCGCAAGAACACCAGUGGCGAAGGCGGCUUACUGGUCCGGAACUGACGCUGAGGUGCGAAAGCGUGGGGAGCAAACAGG
RNAcentral lists this ribosomal RNA (253 nucleotides) under uncultured bacterium. RNAcentral's name for it is "partial 16S ribosomal RNA". It matches the Rfam family "Bacterial small subunit ribosomal RNA", at positions 524 to 776 of the family's 1533-position model. The record is from RNAcentral.